UAAAAAUGUGUUAUGUUUAUUAUUUUUAUAAAGUUUUAAUUUAAAUGUAAGUUUUUGCAUGAAUAAUAAGUAUUUUAAAUAAAUUAUUAUAUAAAUUUACAAUAGAAAGAAUUAUUUUUUUAGUAUAUUAAGAUAUAGAAAUAAUUUUAAGUUUAAACAAAAUUUGUGCCAGCAGUUGCGGUUAUACAAAUUAAGCAAUAAAAAUGUUAUUACAGAAUUAGUAUUAUUUUAUGUAAAAAUUUAGUUAAAUAAAUUAAGUGAAAUUUUUUAUUUUUAAAAUUUUUUGAUUGUAGUAUUCUAAUAAGUUUUUUUUAUAAACUAGGAUUAGAUACCCUAUUAUUAAUUGAUUAAAUUAGGUUCUAAAUUAGUAAAAGUUAUAUCUUGAAAAUUAGUAAUUUUGGCGGUAUUUUAGUCUGUUCAGAGGAACCUGUCCUUUAAUUUGAUAAUCCACGAAUAAAUUUACUUAUUUUAUUAACUUAUAUAUCGUUGUUAAAUAAUUAUUUUAGUUGAAUAUGAAUAUUUUAAAUUUAUAUUUUUAAAGAAAAUCAAAUCAAGAUGUAGUUUAUAAAUAAGAAGAGAUGGGUUACAGUUUAAAUAAUUUAAUUUUAUGAAAGAUUUUUAGGAUUUGAUAGUAAUUUUAAAUAUUUUUUUAAAAUGAUAAAGCUCUAAAAUAUGUACAUAUCGCUCGUCGCUUUCAUUAUAAAAUGAAAUAAGUCGUAACAAAGUAGAUGUACUGGAAGGUGUAUCUAGAAU
Molecule: non-coding RNA, 753 nt
Filed under: Scolytoplatypus raja
Lineage: Eukaryota; Metazoa; Arthropoda; Insecta; Coleoptera; Curculionidae
Source: RNAcentral